This 77-nucleotide transfer RNA is filed under the name Armatimonadota bacterium. Its description in RNAcentral is "tRNA-Pro". Lineage: Bacteria; Bacillati; Armatimonadota. The record is from RNAcentral.
CUGGGUGCAUCUCAGCGUGGUGCGCCGACCGGUUUGGGACCACGAGGUCGCCGGUUCGAGUCCAGCCACCCCGACCA